Molecule: transfer RNA, 66 nt
Filed under: Acropyga kinomurai
Lineage: Eukaryota; Metazoa; Arthropoda; Insecta; Hymenoptera; Formicidae
Description: tRNA-Gly
Source: RNAcentral
AUUUACAUAGUAUAAAAAUUACAUUUAACUUCCAAUUAAAAAAUUUAAUUUAACUUAAUGUAAAUA